This is a long non-coding RNA of Magnolia sinica, 357 nucleotides long. RefSeq lists it as uncharacterized. The transcript has 3 exons. The record is from RefSeq and is a predicted model, not a curated record. NCBI's taxonomy places the organism in Eukaryota, Viridiplantae, Streptophyta, Magnoliopsida, Magnoliales, Magnoliaceae.
AUUUCAACUUAAAGGAUCUUUGUCAAGUUGAUCCUAAAUCAGUUAGUGCUCAUUGGAAGAUACUUUUACCAACCAGUGAUGUGUUACAACCAAGGAAGUAUCAGGCAACUCUAAUGACAUGCUUGCUUUUUGAUCCCAUCUUAAAGCUAAUGAUCUUCCAGAGUCCAAUAGUUGUGUCUUAUGACUGACUGUUCCUACCCCAUCACAUCUGCAGACACGGAUUGCAACUGCCUCAACUUUAGCUGCCAUCUUGGAUGGUCCUUCAUCCAUUUUUCUGCAAGUUGCAGAAUACAAAGAAUCCACAAAACAUGGACAGUUUACUUCUCUUUCAAGCUCCCUCGGUGAAAUUCUAAUGGA